AUUGAACGCUGGCGGCAGGCUUAACACAUGCAAGUCGAGCGGGGUGAUGGUGCUUGCACUAUCACUUAGCGGCGGACGGGUGAGUAAUGCUUAGGAAUCUGCCUAUUAGUGGGGGACAACAUCUCGAAAGGGAUGCUAAUACCGCAUACGUCCUACGGGAGAAAGCAGGGGAUCUCUUGUGACCUUGCGCUAAUAGAUGAGCCUAAGUCGGAUUAGCUAGUUGGUGGGGUAAAGGCCUACCAAGGCGACGAUCUGUAGCGGGUCUGAGAGGAUGAUCCGCAACACUGGGACUGAGACACGGCCCAGACUCCUACGGGAGGCAGCAGUGGGGAAUAUUGGACAAUGGGGGGAACCCUGAUCCAGCCAUGCCGCGUGUGUGAAGAAGGCCUUAUGGUUGUAAAGCACUUUAAGCGAGGAGGAGGCUCUUUUGGUUAAUACCCAAGAUGAGUGGACGUUACUCGCAGAAUUAGCACCGGCUAACUCUGUGCCAGCCGCCGCCGUAA
RNAcentral lists this ribosomal RNA (503 nucleotides) under uncultured bacterium. RNAcentral's name for it is "partial 16S ribosomal RNA". It matches the Rfam family "Bacterial small subunit ribosomal RNA", at positions 30 to 523 of the family's 1533-position model. The record is from RNAcentral.